AUAAAGUGAGACCCUAUCUCAAAAAUAACACAGCUCUGCCCCAAGAUGUACAAUCCCUUUCCAGACUUAAGCUGGGCCUUGAGUCUGCACCUGCAUAUUCCUAUGACUUCUCAGAGUCCUAUGGACAAUACUGAGGAGACAAACCAUGCAGGAAACAUUC
Molecule: small nucleolar RNA, 160 nt
Filed under: Castor canadensis (American beaver)
Lineage: Eukaryota; Metazoa; Chordata; Mammalia; Rodentia; Castoridae
Description: Small nucleolar RNA SNORA73 family (ENSCCNG00000013920.1)
Rfam family: Small nucleolar RNA SNORA73 family
About the family: U17 (SNORA73A and SNORA73B) also known as E1 belongs to the H/ACA class of small nucleolar RNAs (snoRNAs).
Source: Rfam by way of RNAcentral